UGCCAAGAGCCACGUGAGUGAGCCUGGAAGUGGAUGCUUCCCCACUUGAGCUUCGGGAAGACUGCAGCUUCAGGGGACAAUGCCAUUGCAACCUGAGUCACAGGCGAUCCGCUAAGCCGCGUUUGGAUUUCUCACCAACGAAAUCUGGAAGAGCAUGAAGAAUAUUAAGAAAACUAAAGCAGGAUCAAGCCCAAUGCACUGAUGAAGAAUAUCCUAACUGAAACAUGCUACGUCAUCUCAACACGUUUGAUCCUCACAUGACAAAAAAUCAGCACUGAUGAUCCCCAGGAAGAGGGGGUGGCAGCACUUUAUGAUAGGAAAGAUUCUUUCUGCUCCCAGACUUUCCUAAUGCAGCCCUCCAUUCCAGGCUACAAUGAAGGCUGCCUAUUCUUCCUGGGCUCACGUCUUCCUAACUCUGCCCUCAGUCGUUUCCAGUCUAGUUGGAGAAGGCUAAGUAUACAGUAUAUGAAAAGCAAGAAUUAUGUAACAGACAACAAUGCAAUAGAACCAAGAAAAAUUGGUGAACACUUGUCAAAGUCUGGUGAAGAAAAUUUGGGCUUCAGCAUGAGUAUGGUGAUAUAGCAAAAGGACACAGAGAUGGCUCCAUGGAAUAGAAGGGGUUUUACUUCCUCUGGAGACUGAGAGAAGGCCAUCACCGGCUGAGCAGAGAGGUCAGAGUUCCUGUUCCAGCUAAGGCGGAGUUAACACGAGCCUCUUUUCACUUCCACUGAACUCAACUAUAAAACCAGGAGAGAAUUCACAGUCUAGCUAUUUGAGAACUUGAAAAGCAAAUAGCAACAAGUGGAUCAGAGAAAAACGCCAGAAUUUGGAGCAUCAUUGAACUAGUGAGUGAAAAUGUACGACACCCCAUGAAAUACUGGAGAUGGCUAUGCAGGACUGAUCAUAUUACACAAAGCUGAUGUAAGUAAAGAGCAGAUAAGAUAUUCUUCAUAAUCCAUUUCCCAGCUAGCUAUAAAAAAUCAGUGCUAUAUCAACAUAUAUGUUGGAUCCUAAUAAUAAAGCUACAUAUGUUGGUCAAAGGAGAAAACAAAUAAACACUGGUCUUGGAUCUCAACUUAUUUACCAGCAAUCUAUAUGAAAUGAUUUUGCUGGAAAGCUUCCCCAAUGACAUAACAGGGUGCUGCACCUCCAAGGAUGGGAGAAGUUCUUAAAGUGUUUAGAAAUCUUCAUGUAAUUAUCAAAUAUUGGUGACUGUGCAUUUGGCAUAUACUCUAUGAAAAUGUGAGAGUAUUCUUUUCUCUUUACUUAAGGCAGUUCUGAGAACAACCCAUAAACAGCUUCCCCCAAGUCUCCCCUUUAUUAUCAUCCAUCAUGCUUAGCUAUUUUAAUUUGACACUGGCCGUAUCUUGCUGCCAAGGAGAGCAUGGAUAAUUCCGCAUUGACAUUGCUAAUUUCUAGAAUGUAACCACAAGGUUUGACAUGAUGCAGUCAGGCAGUAACCAAAAGCAUAUUUUCUGAGUUCCCUCGUAAAACCUCAGUGGAUAUGAGGGUCUUAAAAAAAUAAAACUUAUGCCUGGUUAUUUUUAGUCCACCAAAUGUGAGAAAAGAUGAGUGAAAUCUCAGUCAUUAAAAAGAGAGAUAGAGUGUCUUAAAAAAUCCACUCAAAUUAGAAAAAUAUGGCAACACUUUCAUUCAUCAGCAAACACUUAUUAAGGGCCUAUAUGUGCCAGCAACUGAGCUUUCUGUGCUCAGUUCAAUUUUAGUGCACAUCUGGUCUACUACAGAACACUGUUUGAAAAUAUCUGAAAUAAACCUGCUAAAAAAUUUAACUCUCUCUCUCCCUCUACUUCUCUUCCUCUCCCUCUGUCCUUCUUUCCCUAUUUUUCUCUCUCCAAAUUUCCCUCUUUCUGUAUCAAUGAGAAAGGCAGAAUGAUGGCAUAUUCAGAAGAAACAUAGAUUAUUUCUGGUUUAUAGUGAAAAAGCAAUGGUUUAGAAAUUAUAUGUCCUGUCACCUACUAGAUGCAUGAUCUCUAGCAAGUCAUUUAAUUUAUCUGAUGAUGACAAAACAACACCCUGCCUAAUAGUUCAUAGGGUACUUUGAGACCCACAUAUGAUAAAAUAUGUAUGUUUUGACAACUGUCAAGUGCUUAAUAAAUGUUAGAUGUUAUCUUAUGUGGGAAAGUAUUAAAAUGAAUAUCUAGUUUAUAUAAAGGUGUUUUAAUCAUAUUUGUUAUAUAUGAUUAAAAAUAAUAAAUGUAUAGAGUGCACACACACACACACAUACAGAGUUGACCCUUGAACAAAGUUUUGAACUUGGAGGGUCUGUUUAUAUGCAGAUUUUCUUCCACUUCUGCCAUCCCUGAGAGAGCAAAAUCAACCCCUUCUCUUCUCCUUAGCCUACUAAAUGUGAAAAUAAUAAUGAAGACCCUUAGGAUGACCCACUUCCACUUAAUGAAUAACAAAUAUAUUUUCUCUUCAUUAUGCUUUCCUUCACAUUUUCUUUUCUCUAGCUUACUUUAUUGUAAGAAAACAGUAUAUAACACAUACAGCAUACAAGAUAUGUGUUAAUUGACUAUGUUAUUGGUAAGGCUUCUGUUUAACAGUAGUUGUAUUAGUCAGAGUUCUCUACAGGGACCAAAGUAAUAGGAUAGAUGUAUACAUAAAGGGGAGUUUAUUAAGGAGUAUUGACUCGCAUGAUCACAAGGUGAGGUCCCACAGUAGGCUGUCUGCAAGCUGAGAAGCAAAGAAGCCAGUCCGAGUCCUGAAGCUGAAGAACUUGGAGUCUGAUGUUUGAGGGCAGGAAGCAUCCAGCAUGAGAGGAAGAUGUAGGCCAGAAGACUAAACCAGUCUAGUUUUGCCAUGUUCUUCUGCCUGCUUUUAUUCUGGUCAUGCUGGCAGCUGAUUAGAUUGUACCCACUCAGUAGUGCCUUUCCCAGUCCACUGACUCAAAUGUUAAUCUCCUUUGGCAACACCCUCACAGACACACCUAGGAGCAAUACUUUGCAUCCUUCAAUCCAUCAAGUUGACACUCAAUAUUAACCAUCACAGUAGUUAAGUUUUUGAGAAGUCAAAAUUUAUUUAUGGAUUUUUCAACUGUGUGUGUGUGUUGGG
Molecule: long non-coding RNA, 3072 nt
Organism: Gorilla gorilla gorilla (western lowland gorilla)
Lineage: Eukaryota; Metazoa; Chordata; Mammalia; Primates; Hominidae
Exons: 6
Source: RefSeq, a predicted model, not a curated record